RNAcentral lists this unclassified non-coding RNA (298 nucleotides) under plant metagenome. RNAcentral describes it as "partial contains 5.8S ribosomal RNA, internal transcribed spacer 2, and large subunit ribosomal RNA". The stretch from base 1 to 105 matches the Rfam family "5.8S ribosomal RNA", at positions 50 to 154 of the family's 154-position model. The record is from RNAcentral.
GAAAUGCGAUAAGUAAUGUGAAUUGCAGAAUUCAGUGAAUCAUCGAAUCUUUGAACGCACAUUGCGCCCCCUGGUAUUCCGGGGGGCAUGCCUGUUCGAGCGUCAUUUCACCACUCAAGCCUCGCUUGGUAUUGGGCGACGCGGUCCGCCGCGCGCCUCAAAUCGACCGGCUGGGUCUUCCGUCCCUCAGCGUUGUGGAAACUAUUCGCUAAAGGGUGCCGCGGGAGGUCACGCCGCAAAACAACCCCAUUUCUAAGGUUGACCUCGGAUCAGGUAGGGAUACCCGCUGAACUUAAGC